RNAcentral lists this ribosomal RNA (253 nucleotides) under uncultured bacterium. RNAcentral's name for it is "partial 16S ribosomal RNA". It matches the Rfam family "Bacterial small subunit ribosomal RNA", at positions 524 to 776 of the family's 1533-position model. The record is from RNAcentral.
UACGGGGGGGGCAAGCGUUGUUCGGAAUUAUUGGGCGUAAAGAGCUCGUAGGCAGCCUGUCGCGUCGGAUGUGAAAGCCCGGGGCUUAACCCCGGGUCUGCAUUCGAUACGGGCAGGCUAGAGUGUGGUAGGGGAGAUCGGAAUUCCUGGUGUAGCGGUGAAAUGCGCAGAUAUCAGGAGGAACACCGGUGGCGAAGGCGGAUCUCUGGGCCAUUACUGACGCUGAGGAGCGAAAGCGUGGGGAGCGAACAGG